GUCCACGCCCUAAACGAUGUCGACUGGUUGUUGGGGGUUUGACACUCUCAGUAACUAAGCUAACGCGUGAAGUCGACCGCCUGGGGAGUACGGCCGCAAGGUUAAAACUCAAAGGAAUUGACGGGGACCCGCACAAGCGGUGGAUUAUGUGGAUUAAUUCGAUGCAACGCGAAAAACCUUACCUACCCUUGACAUGUCCCGAAGCCCGGUGAGAGCCGGGGGUGCCCGAAAGGGAACGGGAACACAGGUGCUGCAUGGCUGUCGU
This 265-nucleotide ribosomal RNA is filed under the name uncultured bacterium. RNAcentral describes it as "partial 16S ribosomal RNA". It matches the Rfam family "Bacterial small subunit ribosomal RNA", at positions 793 to 1055 of the family's 1533-position model. The record is from RNAcentral.